Molecule: ribosomal RNA, 1254 nt
Filed under: Acinetobacter variabilis
Lineage: Bacteria; Pseudomonadati; Pseudomonadota; Gammaproteobacteria; Moraxellales; Moraxellaceae
Description: bacterial SSU rRNA
Rfam family: Bacterial small subunit ribosomal RNA
Source: RNAcentral
ACGUCCUACGGGAGAAAGCAGGGGAUCUUCGGACCUUGCGCUAAUAGAUGAGCCUAGGUCGGAUUAGCUAGUUGGUGGGGUAAAGGCCUACCAAGGCGACGAUGUGUAGCGGGUCUGAAAGGAUGAUCCGCCACACUGGGACUGAAACACGGCCCAAACUCCUACGGGAGGCAGCAGUGGGGAAUAUUGGACCAAUGGGGGGAACCCUGAUCCAGCCAUGCCGCGUGUGUGAAGAAGGCCUUUUGGUUGUAAAGCACUUUAAGCGAGGAGGAGGCUUACCUGGUUAAUACCUGGGAUAAGUGGACGUUACUCGCAGAAUAAGCACCGGCUAACUCUGUGCCAGCAGCCGCGGUAAUACAGAGGGUGCAAGCGUUAAUCGGAUUUACUGGGCGUAAAGCGCGCGUAGGUGGCUAAUUAAGUCAAAUGUGAAAUCCCCGAGCUUAACUUGGGAAUUGCAUUCGAUACUGGUUAGCUAGAGUAUGGGAGAGGAUGGUAGAAUUCCAGGUGUAGCGGUGAAAUGCGUAGAGAUCUGGAGGAAUACCGAUGGCGAAGGCAGCCAUCUGGCCUAAUACUGACACUGAGGUGCGAAAGCAUGGGGAGCAAACAGGAUUAGAUACCCUGGUAGUCCAUGCCGUAAACGAUGUCUACUAGCCGUUGGGGCCCCUUGAGGCUUUAGUGGCGCAGCUAACGCGAUAAGUAGACCGCCUGGGGGAGUACGGUCGCAAGACUAAAACUCAAAUGAAUUGACGGGGGCCCGCACAAGCGGUGGAGCAUGUGGUUUAAUUCGAUGCAACGCGAAGAACCUUACCUGGCCUUGACAUACAGAGAACUUUCCAGAGAUGGAUUGGUGCCUUCGGGAACUCUGAUACAGGUGCUGCAUGGCUGUCGUCAGCUCGUGUCGUGAGAUGUUGGGUUAAGUCCCGCAACGAGCGCAACCCUUUUCCUUAUUUGCCAGCACUUCGGGUGGGAACUUUAAGGAUACUGCCAGUGACAAACUGGAGGAAGGCGGGGACGACGUCAAGUCAUCAUGGCCCUUACGGCCAGGGCUACACACGUGCUACAAUGGUCGGUACAAAGGGUUGCUACUGCGCGAGCAGAUGCUAAUCUCAAAAAGCCGAUCGUAGUCCGGAUCGCAGUCUGCAACUCGACUGCGUGAAGUCGGAAUCGCUAGUAAUCGCGGAUCAGAAUGCCGCGGUGAAUACGUUCCCGGGCCUUGUACACACCGCCCGUCACACCAUGGGAGUUUGUUGCCCC